UUGUAUUCAAAGGAGAGUACUAAGGAUACUCUAACUCAAUUACAAAAGAACAAAAUACCACAAAUAAUAAACCAAACCAGUUUAAGGUAAUCAAGUGGAUCUUUACCACUCAUAUAAAUUACAUUUUAGCCUCUCUUUUUUUAGAGUCUAUAACAAGCCACGACCAAGAGAACAUCCUGACUUUAAAGACAAUUUCUUCGGAGUCACCUGCUGACUGCAUCAUUAGAUAAAAUCCCAGUUCUUGAUCUCCGUAUGCACCAA
Molecule: long non-coding RNA, 261 nt
Filed under: Lathyrus oleraceus (garden pea)
Lineage: Eukaryota; Viridiplantae; Streptophyta; Magnoliopsida; Fabales; Fabaceae
Description: Pisum sativum (pea) long non-coding RNA (PSAT_LNC003561)
Source: RNAcentral